This 417-nucleotide ribosomal RNA is filed under the name uncultured bacterium. RNAcentral describes it as "bacterial SSU rRNA". It matches the Rfam family "Bacterial small subunit ribosomal RNA", at positions 29 to 493 of the family's 1533-position model. The record is from RNAcentral.
AACGAACGCUGGCGGCAGGCCUAACACAUGCAAGUCGAGCGAAACCUUCGGGUUUAGCGGCGGACGGGUGAGUAACGCGUGGGAACGUGCCUUUCACUACGGAAUAGUCCCGGGAAACUGGGUUUAAUACCGUAUACGCCCUUCGGGGGAAAGAAUUUCGGUGAAAGAUCGGCCCGCGUUAGAUUAGGUAGUUGGUGGGGUAAUGGCCUACCAAGCCUACGAUCUAUAGCUGGUUUUAGAGGAUGAUCAGCCACACUGGGACUGAGACACGGCCCAGACUCCUACGGGAGGCAGCAGUGGGGAAUCUUAGACAAUGGGCGCAAGCCUGAUCUAGCCAUGCCGCGUGAGUGACGAAGGCCCUAGGGUCUAAAGCUCUUUCGCCAGGGAUGAUAAUGACAGUACCUGGUAAAGAACCCG